RNAcentral lists this unclassified non-coding RNA (2142 nucleotides) under Dimorphilus gyrociliatus. RNAcentral describes it as "ubiquitin-like modifier-activating enzyme 5". Lineage: Eukaryota; Metazoa; Annelida; Polychaeta; Dinophilidae. The record is from RNAcentral.
AUCAAUAUUUGUGUACACAUGGCAAUUCCUAUUUCUUCCCAUACGAUUUGUAAAAGUAUUGUAGUAAUUGUUUAAAAAACAAGCAUACAUUACUUUUAAAACUAGUUUAAUUGUUCAAUCAAAAAGAAUAUUUAGUUAAGAUAUCAAAAUGAGUGAAGUAGAAAAUUUGAAGAAAAGAAUAAAAGAAUUAGAAGAACAAUUAUUAACCGCUAAUGAAUCAAAAAGACAAAAAAUUGUUGAAAUGAGCUCUGAAGUUGUUGAUUCUAAUCCAUAUAGUCGGUUAAUGGCACUAAAACGAAUGGGAAUUGUUGAUGAAUAUGAAGUAAGUAAAAUGAUAUAUAAAAUUAUGUUACAUUUUGUAUCAUUCUUCAACUUGUAAACUUAUUAAGCAAUAAUAUUUACAGAGCAAGUAUCUUGUAAUCAGUACAAUAUUGAAUGUAUUCUGACUUUAUUUAACCUCUAAAUACUUCCUUUCGCAGAAAAUUCGAAAUUAUACGGUUGCUGUAGUAGGAGUUGGGGGUGUUGGAAGUGUUACUGCGGAAAUGCUUACAAGAUGUGGAAUAGGAAAAGUAUAACAUUACAGCCGUUUAAUUAGUAAUUUUAAUUUUAAACAAAAGUAUUCUUUUCUUGUGUUUUCUUGAAAUAAAUUAGCUUAUUCUCUUUGAUUAUGACAAAGUGGAAUUAGCUAAUAUGAAUAGAUUAUUCUUUCAACCUCACCAAGCUGGUUUAUCUAAAGUAGAUGCUGCUGUGAAAACUUUACAGUCAAUCAACCCUGAUGUUACUUUUGAGGCUCAUAAUUACAAUAUAACAACUAUGGAUAACUUUGAUCAUUUUAUGUCAAGAAUAAAAUGUGGUAGCCUAGAAGGAAAGAACGUUGACCUCGUACUAAGCUGCGUCGAUAACUUUGAAGCAAGGAUGGCGAUUAAUACGGCAUGUAAUGAAUUAGGUCAAUUUUGGAUGGAAAGUGGUGUUAGUGAAAAUGCUGUUUCGGGUCAUAUCCAAUUUAUUAAACCUGGAGAAACUGCUUGUUUUGGCUGUUCCCCACCUCUUAUCGUAGCAACUAAAACAGACGAAAAGACUUUAAAACGUGAAGGUGUUUGCGCGGCCAGUUUACCAACGACCAUGGGAAUUGUGGCUGGGCUUCUUGUUCAAAAUACUCUUAAAUAUUUAUUAAAAUUUGGUGAAGUCUCAUAUUAUCUAGGCUAUGGAGCCUUGAAAGAUCAUUUUCCCACAAUGGUUUUAAAACCAAACCAAGAGUGCGAUGAUAGAUUUUGUAGGGAGCAGCAGGAAUUAUUCAAAAAAAGAGAAGCAAAUAAGCCUAAAGUCGUUGAAGUCGAGGUUAAAGAAGAGGUUAUAGUACACGAAGAUGAAUGGGGUAUUGAGUUAGUUAGCGAGUCGAAAGAUGAUGAAGAAAAACAGGAUGAUAAUUUAACCGAAGGCGUUCAAUUUGCUUAUUCCAUACCGAAGAGUAAUGAAGAAGAAAAAGCAUCAACAGUAGCUGAUAGUAAUUUUAGUUUGAAAGAUUUGCAAGAUCAAUUAAAAGCAAUGAAAUAAAGCAUUAAAAUAUCAAUAUAUUAAAAUAUACAUGCAUAUAAUAAUAUAUAUAUGAAUAUUCCAUAUUCUCUUUACUUUUUUCGGUAUAUCAACAUUGAAGAGUCAAAGAUAUGUAAAAAUCCAUAUUACGUAAUUUGAGGAGAAUACGUUUAACUUUUGCUUAGAGUUUCAAAAACUAACUGUAGUCUAUUUUAAGAAAUUUUCUAACACAUAAAAGGUUAAUACAUGUUUAAACGUAAACCAUUAAAAUAUACUGUAACAGUAGGUAGUUACUUCCACUUUAUAAAAAGAAUAUUUUCGUACUAUCUUCCUCGACACUAAGUUGUGAUCUUCAAUUUUUUCCAAGGUCAUAGCGAGUUUCUAGUUCAGAAGGCGAAGAGAAUAUUGAAAUAUUUCCACGUACCUUUAUAUACUUAAAAUCCUAUAGAAAGCGUUAAGCUUUUAGAGAUAAAACAAUAAACUGUGUCUGUGUUGUGGGAUAUAAAUUGUAUAUAGUGAAUGUAUAUUUAUAGAUAUGUAAAAAAAACAUUUCCUCCUUACUAUGUACACAUGUCUUUAAAUAAACAGUUCAAAUUCUGGUUUUGGUGC